AACUCAAACUCUGAUAGUAACGACUCGGAAGAAGAAGACAUUGAUCCUAACUUUGAAGUCAACACGAUUGUCACCCUCCCUCGUCGCGUCCCAACGAUGAAAGUGCAGUGCUUGUAAUAUAAUAGAUCUACCUUCUGCAGGUGAAUGGGAGGCCCCAUUGCAUUUCGACCAGAUCAGCUAGGAUCUCAUGCAUGAACUCCAAGUUUGACAGUCAUCGAGCUGUCCUGUUUGGGGGCAAUGGCUCACUAGUGUACUCAACACAUGCCUAGCCUCCUUCACAAGGCCUCAACCAGAGUAGAGGAGGUUGGACAGGGUCAAAUGAAUCAUCACCCGUACCACGUCUCAAUCUUUGCUACCUCCCUACCGAGCUUUCCAGUCGAAUUAUCAAUGAUAAAGUGGCCAGUGCCAGUGGCUCAAAGUCACAUGUUAAAUCCUAACUGAACAUUAUAUUAAAUGUAGUGCACUGCUAUAUAUAUCAUUUGAAAGGUCUCUUUCUAAGCUUCCGAAAAUCAUAGUUAGUGACAUCAUAGCAACAAUUUUUUGAGGGGAAGUGGUGUUAUUAUUUGUAAAAAAAAUAAUUUAACUGUGUCAAAGUGAUUAUACGAUAGAUGAUAAUGAUCAAAUGAAGGUUAUCAAAUGCUAUAUAUAUAAAUUAUAUUAUUAUAUGCAUCAUAAAAAAUAUAUGGUUUGGCGAAUGGAGUGAAUGGAAUUAAUUUUAAUGAACUACAUGUACAGGGAUGGGUAGAUGUUUAUUAACAUAACGUAUACUGAAUAGAUGAGCAUCAUUAACUAGAAAUGGUUGAUGGUGGUACACUCGAUGAAUGGCUUUGAAGAGUGCCCCGAAGGUAGCUCCCCUCCCCUCUCUCCUCUGCCAAUUGAAAAUCAGUUGGUAUAACGGCGGAUCGAUAAUAUUAUACAAUUUCUCCUCCGGUAGAUCAAUUUUGUCUAACUCUUCAGGUAAGAUUCCCAGUAGACAGCCAACUAUCCUCCAGCAGUUUUGCAACUUUGUAGACAGAUUCAGCAGGGCUGUAUAACUUGAUGCCGUGUAACCUUUUAUGAAAAUGUCCAGAAUGAAACAAUCUUCUAGGUGUGAACUGAGCAGGACAUUCGAGUCUUCGUCCUCACACACAGCAAUGUCGACAAUAUCUAUGGCACUGAGUUGCUCCUUGAGUCGUAUCAAACUAGCGGCUCCGCCUUGACUGACUACCCAUUUGCCGAGAACUGUAAAGGUAUCUUCUUUUUCAUUAGGCCUGUACUCUAUGUUCAAUGCUUUGCACAGCUGUUGAGUGUCGGAUAACUGGAGACUGAUGUCUGCGAGGAACUUGAGGUGCUCAGACGUUAGAGUAUCAAGAAUAAUGU
This is a long non-coding RNA of Halichondria panicea, 1359 nucleotides long. RefSeq lists it as uncharacterized. The transcript is spliced from 3 exons. Lineage: Eukaryota; Metazoa; Porifera; Demospongiae; Suberitida; Halichondriidae. The record is from RefSeq and is a predicted model, not a curated record.